UUUUCAAAUCAAAGCCGACUAGCUGUAACUUAGUUUCUGUAUGAUUCGUGACGUGAUUCAAGAACAGAACAAAUUAAAGAACGAUUUAU
This 89-nucleotide small RNA is filed under the name Arabidopsis thaliana (thale cress). RNAcentral's name for it is "ATSL017420". The record is from RNAcentral. Lineage: Eukaryota; Viridiplantae; Streptophyta; Magnoliopsida; Brassicales; Brassicaceae.